GGAUGUCAACAAAUUCUCGAUCUGGUGGUGGCUUGGCACGCAUGCUCAACAUUCCAUCUGCAGAAUCAAGAGAUCACACGUCAAUAAUUACCUGGGGUCCUUCGCUCUCGACGAGCAAGCGGCGUGGCUGCAGUCGGGUUCCGCUCAAGCGAAGAGUCGCUGCCGACGACGACGCGCCGAGUUCAUUCGUCGGGACCUGCCGCGAAUGCGGUCGCGUCCAUCUGCAGCAGAUGACGAGGUGCCCUGGUGUUCUUCAUGCUGAACUUUGCAGAGGAGGAGGCAUUACAAGAAGUACCAUUUG
This is a long non-coding RNA of Dermacentor silvarum, 301 nucleotides long. RefSeq lists it as uncharacterized. The record is from RefSeq and is a predicted model, not a curated record. The transcript is spliced from 3 exons. NCBI's taxonomy places the organism in Eukaryota, Metazoa, Arthropoda, Arachnida, Ixodida, Ixodidae.